RNAcentral lists this ribosomal RNA (497 nucleotides) under uncultured bacterium. RNAcentral describes it as "partial 16S ribosomal RNA". It matches the Rfam family "Bacterial small subunit ribosomal RNA", at positions 28 to 507 of the family's 1533-position model. The record is from RNAcentral.
GAUGAACGCUGGCGGCGUGCCUAAUACAUGCAAGUCGAGCGAACAGACGAGGAGCUUGCUCCUCUGACGUUAGCGGCGGACGGGUGAGUAACACGUGGAUAACCUACCUAUAAGACUGGUAUAACUUCGGGAAACCGGAGCUAAUACCGGAUAAUAUAUUGAACCGCAUGGUUCAAUGGUGAAAGACGGUUGUGCUGGCACGUAUAGAUGGAUCCGCGCCGCAUGAGCUAGUUGGUAAGGUAAAGGCUUACCAAGGGAAGUAUGCGUGGCCGAAGUGAGUGGGUGGUAGGCCACCCUGGAGCUGGACCAGGCUCAAGGCUACUACGGGAGGCAGCAGUAGGGAAUCUGCCGCAAUGGUCGAAAGCAUGACGCAGCAACGCGGCGUGAGUGAUGACGGUCUUCGGAUCGUAAAACUCUCUUAUUAGGGAAGAACAAAUGUGUAAGUAACUAUGCACGUCUUGACGGUACCUAGUCAGAAAGCCACGGCUAACUACGUG